RNAcentral lists this ribosomal RNA (1694 nucleotides) under Escherichia coli. RNAcentral's name for it is "partial 23S ribosomal RNA". It matches the Rfam family "Bacterial large subunit ribosomal RNA", at positions 1 to 1735 of the family's 2925-position model. Lineage: Bacteria; Pseudomonadati; Pseudomonadota; Gammaproteobacteria; Enterobacterales; Enterobacteriaceae. The record is from RNAcentral.
GGUUAAGCGACUAAGCGUACACGGUGGAUGCCCUGGCAGUCAGAGGCGAUGAAGGACGUGCUAAUCUGCGAUAAGCGUCGGUAAGGUGAUAUGAACCGUUAUAACCGGCGAUUUCCGAAUGGGGAAACCCAGUGUGAUUCGUCACACUAUCAUUAACUGAAUCCAUAGGUUAAUGAGGCGAACCGGGGGAACUGAAACAUCUAAGUACCCCGAGGAAAAGAAAUCAACCGAGAUUCCCCCAGUAGCGGCGAGCGAACGGGGAGCAGCCCAGAGCCUGAAUCAGUGUGUGUGUUAGUGGAAGCGUCUGGAAAGGCGCGCGAUACAGGGUGACAGCCCCGUACACAAAAAUGCACAUGCUGUGAGCUCGAUGAGUAGGGCGGGACACGUGGUAUCCUGUCUGAAUAUGGGGGGACCAUCCUCCAAGGCUAAAUACUCCUGACUGACCGAUAGUGAACCAGUACCGUGAGGGAAAGGCGAAAAGAACCCCGGCGAGGGGAGUGAAAAAGAACCUGAAACCGUGUACGUACAAGCAGUGGGAGCACAGAGCAAUCUGUGUGACUGCGUACCUUUUGUAUAAUGGGUCAGCGACUUAUAUUCUGUAGCAAGGUUAACCGAAUAGGGGAGCCGAAGGGAAACCGAGUCUUAACUGGGCGUUAAGUUGCAGGGUAUAGACCCGAAACCCGGUGAUCUAGCCAUGGGCAGGUUGAAGGUUGGGUAACACUAACUGGAGGACCGAACCGACUAAUGUUGAAAAAUUAGCGGAUGACUUGUGGCUGGGGGUGAAAGGCCAAUCAAACCGGGAGAUAGCUGGUUCUCCCCGAAAGCUAUUUAGGUAGCGCCUCGUGAAUUCAUCUCCGGGGGUAGAGCACUGUUUCGGCAAGGGGGUCAUCCCGACUUACCAACCCGAUGCAAACUGCGAAUACCGGAGAAUGUUAUCACGGGAGACACACGGCGGGUGCUAACGUCCGUCGUGAAGAGGGAAACAACCCAGACCGCCAGCUAAGGUCCCAAAGUCAUGGUUAAGUGGGAAACGAUGUGGGAAGGCCCAGACAGCCAGGAUGUUGGCUUAGAAGCAGCCAUCAUUUAAAGAAAGCGUAAUAGCUCACUGGUCGAGUCGGCCUGCGCGGAAGAUGUAACGGGGCUAAACCAUGCACCGAAGCUGCGGCAGCGACGCUUAUGCGUUGUUGGGUAGGGGAGCGUUCUGUAAGCCUGUGAAGGUGUACUGUGAGGUAUGCUGGAGGUAUCAGAAGUGCGAAUGCUGACAUAAGUAACGAUAAAGCGGGUGAAAAGCCCGCUCGCCGGAAGACCAAGGGUUCCUGUCCAACGUUAAUCGGGGCAGGGUGAGUCGACCCCUAAGGCGAGGCCGAAAGGCGUAGUCGAUGGGAAACAGGUUAAUAUUCCUGUACUUGGUGUUACUGCGAAGGGGGGACGGAGAAGGCUAUGUUGGCCGGGCGACGGUUGUCCCGGUUUAAGCGUGUAGGCUGGUUUUCCAGGCAAAUCCGGAAAAUCAAGGCUGAGGCGUGAUGACGAGGCACUACGGUGCUGAAGCAACAAAUGCCCUGCUUCCAGGAAAAGCCUCUAAGCAUCAGGUAACAUCAAAUCGUACCCCAAACCGACACAGGUGGUCAGGUAGAGAAUACCAAGGCGCUUGAGAGAACUCGGGUGAAGGAACUAGGCAAAAUGGUGCCGUAACU